This 331-nucleotide unclassified non-coding RNA is filed under the name soil metagenome. Its description in RNAcentral is "partial contains 5.8S ribosomal RNA, internal transcribed spacer 2, and large subunit ribosomal RNA". The stretch from base 6 to 121 matches the Rfam family "5.8S ribosomal RNA", at positions 39 to 154 of the family's 154-position model. The record is from RNAcentral.
GAUGAAAGAACGUAGCGAAAUGCGAUAAGUAAUGUGAAUUGCAGAAUUCAGUGAAUCAUCGAAUCUUUGAACGCACAUUGCGCCCCUUGGUAUUCCGAGGGGCAUGCCUGUUCGAGCGUCAUUAUAACCCCUCAAGCUUAGCUUGGUGUUGGGGCCUGCUGUAAUAGAGCAGCCCUUAAAAUCAGUGGCGGUGCCAUUAGGCUCUAAGCGUAGUAAUUCUUCUCGCUAUAGGGUUCUGGUGGAUGCUUGCCAUUAACCUCUAAUUUUCUAUGGUUGACCUCGGAUCAGGUAGGGAUACCCGCUGAACUUAAGCAUAUCAAUAAGCGGAGGA